RNAcentral lists this transfer RNA (70 nucleotides) under Felis catus (domestic cat). It matches the Rfam family "tRNA". Rfam says of the family: Transfer RNA (tRNA) molecules are approximately 80 nucleotides in length. Their secondary structure includes four short double-helical elements and three loops (D, anti-codon, and T loops). Further hydrogen bonds mediate the characteristic L-shaped molecular structure. tRNAs have two regions of fundamental functional importance: the anti-codon, which is responsible for specific mRNA codon recognition, and the 3' end, to which the tRNAs corresponding amino acid is attached (by aminoacyl-tRNA synthetases). tRNAs cope with the degeneracy of the genetic code in two manners: having more than one tRNA (with a specific anti-codon) for a particular amino acid; and 'wobble' base-pairing, i.e. permitting non-standard base-pairing at the 3rd anti-codon position. The record is from Rfam by way of RNAcentral. Lineage: Eukaryota; Metazoa; Chordata; Mammalia; Carnivora; Felidae. RNAcentral also lists the same sequence under 1 other name.
GGUAAAAUGGUUGAGUAAAGAGCAUUAGAGUGUAAAUCUAAGAACAGAGGUUUAAGCCCUCCUUUUGCCA